AUUUUCUCAAAAACUGUACUCUUCUCGACUUUCAUGGUAGUAAAUCCAUGCUUAGAUCUGUUGCUAUAAAAUUUAGCAAGCUAAUUUCUUCAACCAUUUUGAGUAAGAAAAGCACCUAAUGGCAGAGUCAGCACACAGUUUAGUGCUCCAGAUGGAAGACAUAUUCAGUCAAGCGCUGUAAUUUACUGGGGUCUAACUUCUGUUCUGUUAGAACUGCUUGUUUCUUCACAGUAAGCAUUUGAGAUGCCGAAUCCAAAGCCCAACCCUGUUGCAGCACAUAGUUUGUAGCAUCAUUUUCAUUCAUUCCCAGGAAGUGAGCUGAGUCUUGUGUGCUAAUGGUUGAAUAAGCGGAAAGAAGGAGCUCGAACAUCCUUUUUCUGUAUAAUUCUGCAAAGGAAGCCACAAAGGGCUGAAUCUCAGGACUCCAGCUGAAUCCACGAAUAGCCUCAUGUACACCGACAUAGUCCCUUGUCCAAAGUUUCUGCCCAAUCCUCCAAACAGCCACCACCUCUGGUCGGGCUUCUUUUACAGCUGCAGGUAUCUUCUUCCACAGAAAUCGCGCACUAUUAAUGUCAUUGCUGUAAAUAUGACCUAGAAGGUGAAUCGCGUACGGCCAUUCAUCUUGAAAUUCGAUUCCCUCAGCGGCACCCUGGAGCAUGAGAUCAUCACAAAUAUCAGCAAUCUUGUCGUAGAAGCUGGACGCCAAGGCUUCGUUGAGUUGAGAAGUAUCCAUUGAAGCGCACUGUUUUUUUCGUCGUCGAUUCUCCUUCUACUCCGUCACCGACUCCCCGCUGGGUGAUCG
RNAcentral lists this unclassified non-coding RNA (802 nucleotides) under Hevea brasiliensis (rubber tree). The record is from RNAcentral. Lineage: Eukaryota; Viridiplantae; Streptophyta; Magnoliopsida; Malpighiales; Euphorbiaceae.